RNAcentral lists this ribosomal RNA (507 nucleotides) under uncultured bacterium. RNAcentral's name for it is "partial 16S ribosomal RNA". It matches the Rfam family "Bacterial small subunit ribosomal RNA", at positions 29 to 523 of the family's 1533-position model. The record is from RNAcentral.
AGUGAACGCUGGCGGUAGGCCUAACACAUGCAAGUCGAACGGCAGCACAGAGGAGCUUGCUCCUUGGGUGGCGAGUGGCGGACGGGUGAGGAAUACAUCGGAAUCUACUCUGUCGUGGGGGAUAACGUAGGGAAACUUACGCUAAUACCGCAUACGACCUACGGGUGAAAGCAGGGGAUCUUCGGACCUUGCGCGAUUGAAUGAGCCGAUGUCGGAUUAGCUGGUUGGCGGGGUAAAGGCCCACCAAGGCGACGAUCCGUAGCGUGGUCGGAGAGGAUGAUCAGCCACACUGGAACUGAGACACGGUCCAGACUCCUACGGGAGGCAGCAGUGGGGAAUAUUGGACAAUGGGCGCAAGCCUGAUCCAGCCAUACCGCGUGGGUGAAGAAGGCCUUCGGGUUGUAAAGCCCUUUUGUUGGGAAAGAAAUCCAGCUGGUUAAUACCCGGUUGGGAUGACGGUACCCAAAGAAUAAGCACCGGCUAACUUCGUGCCAGCAGCCGCCGUAA